Dermacentor albipictus is the source of this 265-nucleotide non-coding RNA. Lineage: Eukaryota; Metazoa; Arthropoda; Arachnida; Ixodida; Ixodidae. The record is from RefSeq and is a predicted model, not a curated record.
GCUGAAGACCGCAGCAACGAAUGCACGCCUCUUGACUUAAGCAUGAAGGACAAAACAACACCAAGUACAAGGCGUGACGGUACCCAGGAGGCUUCAUCUACUUUGGGCGCAUACACAACGUGAGCUUCGCCACUUGAUUUCUGAUGACACCUUGCAGCGCAUGCCGAUGACCGACGAGACUUGCAACGUCGACGAUGCCGACACAGAUUCUGACAAUGGCAGCACAAGUUGCCUUCCCCUGGGGCCCACCAGGAACAUCGAUAAC